Molecule: ribosomal RNA, 869 nt
Filed under: Brevibacterium sp.
Lineage: Bacteria; Bacillati; Actinomycetota; Actinomycetes; Micrococcales; Brevibacteriaceae
Description: bacterial SSU rRNA
Rfam family: Bacterial small subunit ribosomal RNA
Source: RNAcentral
UAGCUGCCCGGGUGGAUGAGUGGCGAACGGGUGAGUAACACGUGAGUAACCUGCCCCCGACUUCGGGAUAAGCCCGGGAAACUGGGUCUAAUACCGAAUAUGACCGUUCCUCGCAUGAGGAAUGGUGGAAAGUUUUUUCGGUUGGGGAUGGGCUCGCGGCCUAUCAGUUUGUUGGUGAGGUAAUGGCUCACCAAGACGACGACGGGUAGCCGGCCUGAGAGGGCGACCGGCCACACUGGGACUGAGACACGGCCCAGACUCCUACGGGAGGCAGCAGUGGGGAAUAUUGCACAAUGGGGGAAACCCUGAUGCAGCGACGCAGCGUGCGGGAUGACGGCCUUCGGGUUGUAAACCGCUUUCAGUAGGGAAGAAGCCACCCUUUGGGUGGUGACGGUACCUGCAGAAGAAGUACCGGCUAACUACGUGCCAGCAGCCGCGGUAAUACGUAGGGUACGAGCGUUGUCCGGAAUUAUUGGGCGUAAAGAGCUCGUAGGUGGUUGGUCACGUCUGCUGUGGAAACGCAACGCUUAACGUUGCGCGUGCAGUGGGUACGGGCUGACUAGAGUGCAGUAGGGGAGUCUGGAAUUCCUGGUGUAGCGGUGAAAUGCGCAGAUAUCAGGAGGAACACCGGUGGCGAAGGCGGGACUCUGGGCUGUAACUGACACUGAGGAGCGAAAGCAUGGGGAGCGAACAGGAUUAGAUACCCUGGUAGUCCAUGCCGUAACGUUGGGCACUAGGUGUGGGGGACAUUCCACGUUCUCCGCGCCGUAGCUACGCAUUAGUGCCCGCUGGGGAGUACGUCGCAGGCUAAACUCAAGGAAUUGACGGGGGCCCGCACAAGCGGCGGAGCAUGCGGGAUUAAUUCGAAU